Molecule: long non-coding RNA, 498 nt
Filed under: Cyanistes caeruleus (blue tit)
Lineage: Eukaryota; Metazoa; Chordata; Aves; Passeriformes; Paridae
Description: lncRNA (ENSCCEG00000010643.1)
Source: RNAcentral
UAACAAUGGAACACAUAGCAUUGAUUCCAAAUAACGUUUUAUGUUCAUAGAAAAAGCAGCAUUUUCAUGUGUGUACCAGUGCCAGUUCAGAGUGACUCCACCUUGGCCUGUGGGUUUUCCAGCUUUAUAUCAGCAAAAGCAAGUCCAGAGUUAGGGCCUGGCUUCUCUCCAAUGUGUUGAACCACUUUUGGCACGUGCAGCUCUUCACACAGAGAGCCAGUGGCUCUCAGCACAGUUCCAAGGCUGCAGGAGAGCUGGAAACGCACAUCUCUGCUUCCCUGAAGGACCUGUGACAUCUGUGAGAAAGAGCAAAACCUCCCUGGCCACUCUUCCACCACAUCCUUUGAACCUUCUGCAGAUGAGCCUAAAGUGCUUUGUGCGUGAGAUUAAAAAGCUGCAAGUCUCAGGCCAUCUGGCCAACCAAAUGGAUUUCGUGUACAGGAUCACUGCCAGAUGUAUGCCAGUUGUAAGUUUAAUUUUUGAACAUAUAAAGUGCCU